Molecule: ribosomal RNA, 164 nt
Filed under: uncultured Melampsora
Lineage: Eukaryota; Fungi; Basidiomycota; Pucciniomycetes; Pucciniales; Melampsoraceae
Description: 5.8S ribosomal RNA
Rfam family: 5.8S ribosomal RNA
About the family: 5.8S ribosomal RNA (5.8S rRNA) is a component of the large subunit of the eukaryotic ribosome. It is transcribed by RNA polymerase I as part of the 45S precursor that also contains 18S and 28S rRNA. Functionally, it is thought that 5.8S rRNA may be involved in ribosome translocation.
Source: RNAcentral
UAACUUUCAGCAAUGGAUCUCUAGGCUCUCACGUCGAUGAAGAACACAGUGAAAUGUGAUACGUAAUGUGAAUUGCAUAAUUCAGUGAAUCAUCGAAUCUUUGAACGCACCUUGCACCUUUUGGUUAUUCCGAAAGGUACACCUGUUUGAAUGUCAUGAAACCC